This 301-nucleotide ribosomal RNA is filed under the name uncultured bacterium. RNAcentral describes it as "partial 16S ribosomal RNA". It matches the Rfam family "Bacterial small subunit ribosomal RNA", at positions 509 to 807 of the family's 1533-position model. The record is from RNAcentral.
CAGCCGCCGCGGGAAUACGAAGGGUGCAAGCGUUACUCGGAAUUACUGGGCGUAAAGCGUGCGUAGGUGGUGGUUUAAGUCCGUUGUGAAAGCCCUGGGCUCAACCUGGGAAUUGCAGUGGAUACUGGGUCACUAGAGUGUGGUAGAGGAUAGUGGAAUUUCCGGUGUAGCAGUGGAAUGCGUAGAGAUCGGAAGGAACAUCUGUGGCGAAGGCGACUAUCUGGGCCAACACUGACACUGAGGCACGAAAGCGUGGGGAGCAAACAGGAUUAGAUACCCGGGUAGUCCCUGUCUCUUAUAC